Long non-coding RNA from Haemorhous mexicanus (house finch), 2263 nucleotides. RefSeq lists it as uncharacterized. The record is from RefSeq and is a predicted model, not a curated record. The transcript is spliced from 2 exons. Lineage: Eukaryota; Metazoa; Chordata; Aves; Passeriformes; Fringillidae.
CGCCGCCGCUUCCCCUUCCGGCCUCCCCGUGAGGGCACGGGAGCGCUUAAAGGGCCCGCGCGCCCGGCGCCGUGUGGGGAACGACAGAACGUCUUACUAAGUGCAGGAGGAGGACUAAAGCCAGCUCCUUCCAGCAGCAGGGAGACACGGGCACACGUUCCUACUUCGGGCCACCAGAGGGAGCAAGAUCUCUGGGCAUGAGGAUUCGGCAAGCUAACAAACACUCACUACAAUGGAGAGAAACGGCACAUAAGGUAAAUACCUGAGCUUUCACUUCCUCCUAACACUCCUCAAUAGCGAGAAAGCAAAAGUGUCCUGCUGUGAUAAUGUUAUCAUAAAGGGUAGCAUGGGAAUAUUUCAAUCUUAGGCACAAUGAAAAACAGUUUAAACCAAUGAUAAAAGCUUUGGCUGAACCAAUCAGGAAAACUGACUACUAGCAUUAAAAGGAAAAAAACCCACAAAUGUUAUUUAUUAACUUCAGUUGACAAUUAGUGGCCUUUAUAGUUUUUAAUGUCCUCUGAAAAUUUAAUCUGUAAUGUAUUAAAAAAUAAUAGGGUAAACGGAGUGAAACUUUUUAACUAUAAACAACUGGAGCUUACAGAAUCCUCAGUGAAUGUCUUUUGGUAUUAGCAUACAAAAGGCCUGCACGUUGUAAAGCCCUGCAAGGAGUGCAGAGCCUUGCUCACCUGAACUCUGAGUUACUUCUGAUAUAAAAUAUGACCAAACUAAAACACUUAGAUGCCCAAAUCCUUCUCCCAUCUUCAAAGCAUACUGAGCCAUUAGAAAAAGUGCCACGGGCAUUGAAGGGACUGAAGCACUUGGGUAAAAAGGUCAAAAGGUGCGAGGAAAAAAAAUAACAUUUAAAAGGCACAACAUUUUAAGGACAUGAUCAGUGUCUCUUUGCAUGCGCUAUAGACGUCGAAACUCAAAAGUUUGAUCCGCUUACACACUAUACAAGGAUAUUUCCACAAAGCUUUAAGAGCCUUCCUCCUAGGAAAGAGAAACAGGUGCCCUUUCCUCACUAAAGUAGUCCGUAAGGACAUUUAUUUUGGUUGCAGCCCUGUGCUAACUUGCUUGAAGCUGAGCUCAGAUGCCCAUGAAAAUCAGUCUUUAUGCUUACACAUGUACACCAUGAGUGGAAAAUGGAGAGCAGAAAAAAGCAAAGAGCUUUUGGUUGGAAUAAUACAUGAAAAAAUAUACUACAGUCUCAAAUAAUUGCAUAAAAAGCAAGUUUUAUGCAAGUUACAACUCUAUGGAAAGCUAUGUUGGGAAAGAUGAUAAAAGAAGACAACUGACUAGUCUUUGCACAAUUGAGACAAACUAGGCAAACAGGAUUGUGUCAGUGCACAGAAAACUACGCAGGACUGGAGAACAAUUAAUUAAAUGUCACCUAGGUUGAAUGUGGUCUAUCAACUGCUUCCUAAAGCUGCUGCAUUUUAAUUCAUCUGAAAUACUACACGUUGGGCAUGAAAACUUCCUUGUCUCACCAGUAUCUAAGAGCCAAGUACAUUUUUGCCUGACACCAAAGUCAGCUGAUAGUUACAGACUAUUUUAAAUAGCUUAUGUAUUUUCUGAGAUUACUCAAAACUUUAGAAGCAUUUUGUCAAAAAUCCCUCCUUCCUACCAAUUGAGGGGCAGUGCCUGGAAGUGCCACUAGCAAUUCUCACCCUCUCUCAUGUAUUGAUGAGCUGAUUUAAGUCCAAGCAGGACAGCAAAAUGUGGGCCAGAGAAGGACAAAGACUACUUUGAAGAAGCAGUUUGCAGCAAAGUUAACUGGAUGUAUUCACCCAGGACAAAGUAAUAAAAAUUGGAAACCUUCAUCUCUGACUUUGAAAUAACUUCUGGAGAAAUAACCAUUUCACCAGAAAGCCAAACGUAGUUCAGAGGGGGAAGAAAGAAAUGACAGUGACAUUCAUGAAUUAUCCAGUUCUGUAACUUUGAGAAUUGCCCAUUUUUAGAGCCUCGGAAAUCAUCAUGUUAACUAUCCUCACAACAGAUUCCCACAGCAGUUUUGCUAUGCAGACAUAUUCAAAAACAAUUAAAAUCAUUACCUCCAAAUUCUUUUCUAGCAGGUGCAGGACUCCUACCGCCUGACAGUAUUUAAGAAAUGAAUGCAGCAAUAAUAAAAAAUAUCAGUGUAGUAGAAGGGAAGAAAAAGAACGAGAAAGUUAAAAAUCACAAGGGUCAGUUUGUUAUUAACUAUGUUGCCCAAAUGCUUCUGAACAUCCAGUUUCUCUUAGUGCUCAAUUGUUCACACUGUCAG